Molecule: long non-coding RNA, 975 nt
Organism: Dalotia coriaria
Lineage: Eukaryota; Metazoa; Arthropoda; Insecta; Coleoptera; Staphylinidae
Exons: 2
Source: RefSeq, a predicted model, not a curated record
UAAAACCACGUUAUAAGUAAAUAUAAAUUCGUUUGAGAUUUUAUUUAAUGAUUAUAUACAGGCAAACCAAUUUUAUUUACCGGCGACUGAACGCGGACGGUUUGCGGAUCAGGUGACACAUCCCCCCACUCUUUUCGGAUGCCGGUAAUCACCAGUGGCGUAACACACAAGAAGUUUUCCUUCUUUUUUAGACUUCCCACAUCACACGCAUUUGCUAGACUUCCAUAACUCGCUGGUUAUUUUCUAUAUUAAUUAAUCAAUUCUCGUACUUUACAUUCAUUCAAACAUAACCCCAACAUUUGCAAACAAUUUCUAAUUUGUCUGUCAGUCAGUACCACCAUUAUUGUAAUGGAUUCAAAUUCACACAAUGCAAUUCGUUUCCACACAUUGCUAGAAAAAUGCAGAAAUUAUUUUAACUACCGAUGUUUAACCCUCCUAAUCAUUGCCUUGAUAUGUAUAAUUUUGGGGACUUUCCGGCUGCUUUUGCAAAUAUUACUUAUGGUUACCGGCGUCGCUGGCUUGCUUUUGUCAGCGCGCGUGUUGUAUCGCUAUGUGGGUUGCCUACUCUGGAUCUUCAUUCUUGCCACGCUUACUAUUCACGUAAAAGAUGUGGAUACGUUGAUAACAUGGACGCUGGGCUUUUUCUUCGGUGGAUUGUCAAUCGUCGCGUUAAACGUUUUAUUCGCUCCAGCACAUCACUUGGGACACAUGAUCGUCUUUUCGCACAUGAUGCUAUUCUUAAUUGGAAUCUUCACUAUGUUCCUUUCACUGAAAAAUACCCACCGAAAUUAUGCCCACAAAGCAGGAGAGGAUGGAAAUAUCAUAAGCAAAUCAGAUAUUAACAGAUGCUUCUCCUGGGGCAUAGUCAGUGGUACGUUGUAUGUGGGAAUCCUAGAAGAACUAACUAUGAUUAAAUAUGUUAGAGUUAUGUAUAGGCAACCAAACAUUCACUAAAUACAUGGUACUGAAAAUUUC